UUCUAUGGCCAUACCACCCUGAAUGCACCCAGUCUCUUCUGAUCUCAAAAGCUAGGCAGGGUCGAGCCUGGUUAGUACUUGGAUGGGAGAUAAUUAACCUGUUUUUUAGUUUAUAAUAGGAU
This is a ribosomal RNA of Microcebus murinus (gray mouse lemur), 122 nucleotides long. The record is from Ensembl. NCBI's taxonomy places the organism in Eukaryota, Metazoa, Chordata, Mammalia, Primates, Cheirogaleidae.